Aegilops tauschii subsp. strangulata is the source of this 1026-nucleotide non-coding RNA. Lineage: Eukaryota; Viridiplantae; Streptophyta; Magnoliopsida; Poales; Poaceae. The record is from RefSeq and is a predicted model, not a curated record.
ACCCCCAAACGUAUCUUCUUCCACGUCCACACUUUUACACAGUCGCAAGUUGCUCUUGCCAGAUGCCCUUUCUCUCUUCCUCAUUCUCUCCGCUCACUCCAAAAUUGCUGCCGCCGGAUAGCUGUCGUCAGCUUGCUUCCUUGAUUCGGUGCCAUCAGCUUGCUCGUCCUCACCUGCGGCCACCCCCGCAGCUCGAUUCGCUAGUGCGGCCAUAGGAUGAACUUCAACGGCGGCUGGUUUGUCUCCACGUACGCCUCCUCGGUCUAGGCUGGUAAACAGCGAUAGAGGGGUAGCAGGGCCCAAGGUGGAGCUGCGCAAGGGAGUAGGCGAGAUCAUCCAUCUGCACGGUGUUGUUGCUCUCGACGUCCGUGCAGGUGAUGUGGGCAUGGAUUUCGCCUCUCGCAACCAGCUUUGAUCCAUCUUUAGUAUGAGGAUGGUGGAGACGUUUUCUGCCCCUAGAGCGCCAGCAAAACGCAUCCUCCACAUCGGCGACAUUCUUCGAAGUUCGAAGACUUCAAACCUAUGGAGGCCAUUCCACAAUCCCAGAUUAUAGUAGAGGAGCACACUAUAAUUCUGUGAGAUGGUACUUACUAAAGAUGGUCUGAUCUCUUGACGUAGCAGAUUACGAUUGAGGAUAGUCGACAUGAGAUUGGGGGGCUUGUGACCGAUGCAGGAAGACAAUGCUGAAGUGCCACUUGUUGGAGGAAGUUGACAUCGAAGUGUUGUUUGCUGGAGGAAGAUGAUGUAAUAAGGGUACUCUUCUAAAAUCUAAAGGACAAUGAGUUUUUGAGAUGGUCGAACCAUUGCCUGGGGAAGGUAUUUUAGGGAUGGCUGAGUUGACCACGCUUGCUCGAUGGAAAGAGAUGUUACUUGGAUGCGGAGAGAUUUUAUAUAUGUACGUGAACAUGAGAUUUUGUUUCUGCUCAGAGAUAUUGUAUCUCUGUACAAUAUUGGUAGAGUUUGGUUAUGUUUGGAGAGAUUGUAUCUUUGCAUAGGAUUGUGAGAGUUUGGUCAUUGCGUCCUGUA